RNAcentral lists this ribosomal RNA (791 nucleotides) under uncultured bacterium. RNAcentral describes it as "bacterial SSU rRNA". It matches the Rfam family "Bacterial small subunit ribosomal RNA", at positions 8 to 796 of the family's 1533-position model. The record is from RNAcentral.
AGAGUUUGAUCCUGGCUCAGGACGAACGCUGGCGGCGUGCCUAACACAUGCAAGUCGAACGGAACUAAUUUGACUGAUUCCUUCGGGAUGAAGAAUUUUUAGUUUAGUGGCGGACGGGUGAGUAACGCGUGAGUAACCUGCCUCUGAGAGGGGAAUAACGUUCUGAAAAGAACGCUAAUACCGCAUAACACAUAUUUGCCGCAUGACAGAUAUGUCAAAGAUUUUAUCGCUCGGAGAUGGACUCGCGUCCGAUUAGUUAGUUGGUGAGGUAACGGCUCACCAAGACCGCGAUCGGUAGCCGGACUGAGAGGUUGAACGGCCACAUUGGGACUGAGACACGGCCCAGACUCCUACGGGAGGCAGCAGUGGGGGAUAUUGCGCAAUGGGGGCAACCCUGACGCAGCAACGCCGCGUGAAGGAUGAAGGUUUUCGGAUUGUAAACUUCUUUUAUCAGGGACGAAAUUUGACGGUACCUGAUGAAUAAGCUCCGGCUAACUACGUGCCAGCAGCCGCGGUAAUACGUAGGGAGCAAGCGUUGUCCGGAUUUACUGGGUGUAAAGGGUGCGUAGGCGGCUUUUUAAGUCAGAUGUGAAAUCUAUGGGCUCAACCCAUAAACUGCAUUUGAAACUAGAGAGCUUGAGUGAAGUAGAGGCAGGCGGAAUUCCCUGUGUAGCGGUGAAAUGCGUAGAGAUAGGGAGGAACACCAGUGGCGAAGGCGGCCUGCUGGGCUUUAACUGACGCUGAGGCACGAAAGCGUGGGUAGCAAACAGGAUUAGAUACCCUGGUAGUCC